RNAcentral lists this ribosomal RNA (492 nucleotides) under uncultured bacterium. RNAcentral's name for it is "partial 16S ribosomal RNA". It matches the Rfam family "Bacterial small subunit ribosomal RNA", at positions 29 to 507 of the family's 1533-position model. The record is from RNAcentral.
AGUGACCGCUGGCGGUAGGCCUAGCACAUGCAAGUCGAACGGCAGCACAGUAAGAGCUUGCUCUUACGGGUGGCGAGUGGCGGACGGGUGAGGAAUACAUCGGAAUCUACUUUUUCGUGGGGGAUAACGUAGGGAAACUUACGCUAAUACCGCAUACGACCUACGGGUGAAAGCAGGGGAUCUUCGGACCUUGCGCGAUUGAAUGAGCCGAUGUCGGAUUAGCUAGUUGGCGGGGUAAAGGCCCACCAAGGCGACGAUCCGUAGCUGGUCUGAGAGGAUGAUCAGCCACACUGGAACUGAGACACGGUCCAGACUCCUACGGGAGGCAGCAGUGGGGAAUAUUGGACAAUGGGCGCAAGCCUGAUCCAGCCAUACCGCGUGGGUGAAGAAGGCCUUCGGGUUGUAAAGCCCUUUUGUUGGGAAAGAAAAGCAGCAGGUUAAUACCCCGCUGUUCUGACGGUACCCAAAGAAUAAGCACCGGCUAACUUCGUG